Molecule: non-coding RNA, 85 nt
Organism: Pelobates cultripes (western spadefoot toad)
Lineage: Eukaryota; Metazoa; Chordata; Amphibia; Anura; Pelobatidae
Source: the annotation of a GenBank genome assembly
AGCCACUUAGUCACAAACACUGGCCAAAGUUAGCAUUUAUAUUUGUUUGUAUGUUAAAAAUGCUAACUUUGGCCAGUGUUUGUGA